GCCCAGAUAGCUCAGUCAGUAGAGCAUAAGACCUUUAAUCUAAUGGUCCAGGGUUAAAGUCCUUGUUUGGGCA
Molecule: transfer RNA, 73 nt
Filed under: Danionella translucida
Lineage: Eukaryota; Metazoa; Chordata; Actinopteri; Cypriniformes; Danionidae
Also listed under: 1 other name
Rfam family: tRNA
About the family: Transfer RNA (tRNA) molecules are approximately 80 nucleotides in length.
Source: Rfam by way of RNAcentral